RNAcentral lists this ribosomal RNA (465 nucleotides) under Vreelandella stevensii. Its description in RNAcentral is "partial 16S ribosomal RNA". It matches the Rfam family "Bacterial small subunit ribosomal RNA", at positions 338 to 795 of the family's 1533-position model. The record is from RNAcentral. Lineage: Bacteria; Pseudomonadati; Pseudomonadota; Gammaproteobacteria; Oceanospirillales; Halomonadaceae.
CCUACGGGUGGCUGCAGUGGGGAAUAUUGGACAAUGGGGGAAACCCUGAUCCAGCCAUGCCGCGUGUGUGAAGAAGGCCCUCGGGUUGUAAAGCACUUUCAGUGAGGAAGAACGCCUGGUGGUUAAUACCCAUCAGGAAAGACAUCACUCACAGAAGAAGCACCGGCUAACUCCGUGCCAGCAGCCGCGGUAAUACGGAGGGUGCGAGCGUUAAUCGGAAUUACUGGGCGUAAAGCGCGCGUAGGUGGCUUGAUAAGCCGGUUGUGAAAGCCCCGGGCUCAACCUGGGAACGGCAUCCGGAACUGUCAAGCUAGAGUGCAGGAGAGGAAGGUAGAAUUCCCGGUGUAGCGGUGAAAUGCGUAGAGAUCGGGAGGAAUACCAGUGGCGAAGGCGGCCUUCUGGACUGACACUGACACUGAGGUGCGAAAGCGUGGGUAGCAAACAGGAUUAGAUACCCCAGUAGUC